GAUGAACGCUCGCGAUAGGCUUAACACAUGCAAGUCGAGGGGCAGCAUGGUCUUAGCUUGCUAAGACUGAUGGCGACCGGCGCACGGGUGCGUAACGCGUAUGCAACUUGCCUCACAGAGGGGGAUAACCCGUCGAAAGACGGACUAAUACCGCGUACACUCCAUCUUGGGCAUCCAAGGUAGAGGAAAUGAAAUUCGCUGUGAGAUAGGCAUGCGUCCCAUUAGCUAGUUGGUGAGGUAACGGCUCACCAAGGCGACGAUGGGUAGGGGAACUGAGAUGUUGAACCCCCACACUGGUACUGAGACACGGACCAGACUCCUACGGGAGGCAGCAGUGAGGAAUAUUGGUCAAUGGGCGAGAGCCUGAACCAGCCAAGUCGCGUGAAGGAUGACUGUCUUAUGGAUUGUAAACUUCUUUUAUACGGGAAUAACAAGAGUCACGGGUGACUCCCUGCAUGUACCGUAUGAAUAAGCAUCGGCUAACUCCGUG
RNAcentral lists this ribosomal RNA (490 nucleotides) under uncultured bacterium. Its description in RNAcentral is "partial 16S ribosomal RNA". It matches the Rfam family "Bacterial small subunit ribosomal RNA", at positions 28 to 507 of the family's 1533-position model. The record is from RNAcentral.